ACCUCGGAUCAGGUAGGAAUACCCGCUGAACUUAAGCAUAUCAAUAAGCCGGAGGAAA
RNAcentral lists this ribosomal RNA (58 nucleotides) under Nigrospora oryzae. RNAcentral describes it as "partial 28S ribosomal RNA". Lineage: Eukaryota; Fungi; Ascomycota; Sordariomycetes; Amphisphaeriales; Apiosporaceae. The record is from RNAcentral.